RNAcentral lists this ribosomal RNA (433 nucleotides) under Campylobacter gracilis. RNAcentral describes it as "bacterial SSU rRNA". It matches the Rfam family "Bacterial small subunit ribosomal RNA", at positions 29 to 459 of the family's 1533-position model. The record is from RNAcentral. Lineage: Bacteria; Pseudomonadati; Campylobacterota; Epsilonproteobacteria; Campylobacterales; Campylobacteraceae.
AGUGAACGCUGGCGGCGUGCCUAAUACAUGCAAGUCGAACGGAAUUUAAAAGAGCUUGCUCUUUUAAAUUUAGUGGCGCACGGGUGAGUAAUAUAUAGCUAAUCUGCCCCUUGCUGGAGGACAACAGUUAGAAAUGACUGCUAAUACUCCAUACUCCUUUUUACCAUAAGAUAAAUCGGGAGAGAAUUUCGGCAAGGGAUGAGACUAUAUCGUAUCAGCUAGUCGGUGGGGUAACGGCCUACCGAGGCUAUGACGCGUAACUGGUCUGAGAGGAUGAUCAGUCACAUUGGAACUGAGACACGGUCCAAACUCCUACGGGAGGCAGCAGUAGGGAAUAUUGCGCAAUGGGGGAAACCCUGACGCAGCAACGCCGCGUGGAGGAUGACACUUUUCGGAGCGUAAACUCCUUUUGUUAGGGAAGAAUAAGACGGUA